Molecule: RNA transcript, 1957 nt
Organism: Microplitis mediator
Lineage: Eukaryota; Metazoa; Arthropoda; Insecta; Hymenoptera; Braconidae
Exons: 3
Source: RefSeq, a predicted model, not a curated record
ACUAAAAUCAAACUAGUCCUACAAGCUAAAGAAUAUCAAAAACAUUCGGAAUUUUUAAGUGAUUUUCAACAUGCUAUAAAUCGGAGAAAAAUAAUCGUACAGUACAAACAAUACACAGCGAGUUGAAGCUUCAAGUGUCUAGUUUUUAAAUGUAGACUUGAAAAAUUUAUCAUGGAGGGUUUCGAAGUAAUCCUAAUUAACCGAUUUAAAUCGUUUUUGUGGCAAUCGAAAGAGUUUGUUGGCUGUCAACUUUAUCAAAUAUUUCAGGUCAUUUAAUCGAAUAGACUCAAAGAUAAUUAAAAAUUACGAAAAAAAAAUAGUAUAUACAUCUUGGGAAGUAAAUUAGAAAGCCUCGAAUCACGUGUUUGUUACACUUACAAUUGUACACUGUUUUAUUGUAUACUGAAGACGUCCAAUAAUUGUUAAGAUCUAAUCAACGUUAAACAAUUCUGGUUCGGGACGAUAAUGGAGGCAAAUAUGCGGCACGAUUAAAUUAGUAAGCGUUUUUCUCGUCGACCAUGAAUCCAGAGCAUGUAGAGUCUCGUAAAUUUCAUCAUUCAAAAAUUGUAUCAAUCCGAUCAAUGAUCAAUACUAUUAUGUCGAUCAAUCGUUUUAUUUUUCUAUAUUACGAUCAAGUGUUAGUUUUUUUAUAGCAAUCAAUCGUGAGAUUAAACUGCAACCAAUUGUUAAUGUUAUUUUGUCGCUCAACGAAAUGUUAUGUUGUUAUCAUUGUCAAGUACGAUUUGAUAUGUUCUGAAUGAAUUUAAUUCAUUGUUAUUUUUUUUUUUCAAUGCGGCAUUUAUUUCAUUUUAUCAUUUGCCGUGUUUUUGUGUAAGUUUUGUUGUCAGGUGAGUAUCGUCAGUUAACCCACCGCCCCUCUACUGAAUGCAGAGCUGCCAGUCUAAUCAAGGUUAUCAAUCGUCGAGGUGGUUCCUCGUUGAAUUAUCUUGGCGUCUAACUAAAAAUUUUGUCGCUACACGUUGCCAAUUGCAAGUGUUCUUGGACUUCACUUUCGGUCAACAAAAUUGAUAAAUCAUUUAAAAAUUAUUGAGAUGUUUUCAAGAAUUUGAUAGCCUCGGAAUUAAAUUAGAGACAGUUAACCCUCAUUUGACUCAUGAGUCAAGCAAGAACGUCCUUGAGGGAAGUAGAUAAAUGGCAUUAGAGUACUUAAAAAAACUUAAAGUUCGUCAUUUUAUUAACGGAUGAGGUUCAUUCGUGGAGAAUUUCAGGAAAUAACACAACAAAAACUCCAACAAGCACUACGCCAAUUUGUGAUUGUAAUCCAGAUUCAAUCAUUGAUCCAAGAGCUCCAAAUUAUGAUCCCUUAAUGACUCGUGUUGGAUUUCUUCCAAAGGUAUGGCAAAUAGAAACAAUUAUGACAGUCAAAGAAAUAGAAGCAUUGACAAAUAACAUUGAUGAAAAGUUAAGUGAAUAUUUGAGUGAUACAAGUCAUUAUAGAUUACAACCUUUUGGUAAAAACGUAAGUUCUCUCGAUCUGCGUAAUUUACCAAAAGUUGUUUUAUUAAAACCAACGCUUCUGGAUGAUAACUCAAAAGUAGCUAAAACAUUUACGACAAAUGACUCCACUGUGGAAAUUAAAUCAUUCCUCGAGAGGUCACCUCCAUCAAUUGAUAAUGUUUGGAUGACUUUUAAUUCCCAUAGUUCAGAACCUAUGGUAUAUAUUAAAGUAGAUACAAAUUGGCCGAUUGCGAAAGAUUUUCAUAAUGGAAGAAUGAGAAUGAUAUUCAACGCGGUUCCUGUGUAUUUUUAAAUUUCACGAGUCAGUAAUUUUUUAUGCUGAAGCGAUCCAUUAUAUUUAUUGUGAGAUCACACUAUCUAUUCGAUUUAAAAUGUAUCCGGAUUUUAAAACAAUCAUUGCAAAACAAAUUACAGAUUUCUUACCAUUAUUUCUGUAUACCAUAAUACAAAAACAUAAAUAAAAUUUAACAAAUAAAAA